Molecule: ribosomal RNA, 1005 nt
Filed under: Staphylococcus aureus
Lineage: Bacteria; Bacillati; Bacillota; Bacilli; Caryophanales; Staphylococcaceae
Description: partial 23S ribosomal RNA
Rfam family: Bacterial large subunit ribosomal RNA
Source: RNAcentral
GGAAUCUGGGAGGACCAUCUCCUAAGGCUAAAUACUCUCUAGUGACCGAUAGUGAACCAGUACCGUGAGGGAAAGGUGAAAAGCACCCCGGAAGGGGAGUGAAAUAGAACCUGAAACCGUGUGCUUACAAGUAGUCAGAGCCCGUUAAUGGGUGAUGGCGUGCCUUUUGUAGAAUGAACCGGCGAGUUACGAUUUGAUGCAAGGUUAAGCAGUAAAUGUGGAGCCGUAGCGAAAGCGAGUCUGAAUAGGGCGUUUAGUAUUUGGUCGUAGACCCGAAACCAGGUGAUCUACCCUUGGUCAGGUUGAAGUUCAGGUAACACUGAAUGGAGGACCGAACCGACUUACGUUGAAAAGUGAGCGGAUGAACUGAGGGUAGCGGAGAAAUUCCAAUCGAACCUGGAGAUAGCUGGUUCUCUCCGAAAUAGCUUUAGGGCUAGCCUCAAGUGAUGAUUAUUGGAGGUAGAGCACUGUUUGGACGAGGGGCCCCUCUCGGGUUACCGAAUUCAGACAAACUCCGAAUGCCAAUUAAUUUAACUUGGGAGUCAGAACAUGGGUGAUAAGGUCCGUGUUCGAAAGGGAAACAGCCCAGACCACCAGCUAAGGUCCCAAAAUAUAUGUUAAGUGGAAAAGGAUGUGGCGUUGCCCAGACAACUAGGAUGUUGGCUUAGAAGCAGCCAUCAUUUAAAGAGUGCGUAAUAGCUCACUAGUCGAGUGACACUGCGCCGAAAAUGUACCGGGGCUAAACAUAUUACCGAAGCUGUGGAUUGUCCUUUGGACAAUGGUAGGAGAGCGUUCUAAGGGCGUUGAAGCAUGAUCGUAAGGACAUGUGGAGCGCUUAGAAGUGAGAAUGCCGGUGUGAGUAGCGAAAGACGGGUGAGAAUCCCGUCCACCGAUUGACUAAGGUUUCCAGAGGAAGGCUCGUCCGCUCUGGGUUAGUCGGGUCCUAAGCUGAGGCCGACAGGCGUAGGCGAUGGAUAACAGGUUGAUAUUCCUGUACCACCUAUA